RNAcentral lists this unclassified non-coding RNA (222 nucleotides) under fungal sp. Its description in RNAcentral is "partial internal transcribed spacer region". The stretch from base 1 to 46 matches the Rfam family "Eukaryotic small subunit ribosomal RNA", at positions 1786 to 1831 of the family's 1831-position model. Lineage: Eukaryota; Fungi. The record is from RNAcentral.
AAGUCGUAACAAGGUUUCCGUAGGUGAACCUGCGGAAGGAUCAUUACCAAAAUAUUUAUACAUUAACCCAUGUGCACUGUGAUUCAUGUCUUGGUUCUUGGGGUGUUCCUCUCACGAGGAACACCCCAACCAUUUUGUUAAACAACUGUUUACAUACAAUCAUGGCAUCGUAUUUGUCUUAAAAUGAUACGACAACUUUUAACGGUGGAUCUCUUGGCUCGU